RNAcentral lists this ribosomal RNA (377 nucleotides) under uncultured eukaryote. RNAcentral describes it as "partial 18S ribosomal RNA". It matches the Rfam family "Eukaryotic small subunit ribosomal RNA", at positions 592 to 976 of the family's 1831-position model. The record is from RNAcentral.
CAAUAGCGUAUAUUUAAGUUGCUGCAGUUAAAAAGCUCGUAGUUGGAUUUCGGAUGGGAAUGGCCGGUCCGCCGUUUCGGUGUGCACUUGCUACGCCCACCUUGCUGCCGGGGACGUGCUCUUGAGUUCACGCUCGGGACACGGAGUCGGCGAGGUUACUUUGAGUAAAUUAGAGUGUUCAAAGCAGGCCUACGCUCUGAAUACAUUAGCAUGGAAUAACACGAUAGGACUCUGGCCUAUCUUGUUGGUCUGUAGGACCGGAGUAAUGAUUAAGAGGGACAGUCGGGGGCAUUCGUAUUUCAUUGUCAGAGGUGAAAUUCUUGGAUUUAUGAAAGACGAACUACUGCGAAAGCAUUUGCCAAGGAUGUUUUCAUUAA